AUUGAACGCUGGCGGCAGGCCUAACACAUGCAAGUCGAGCGAGCGGCGGACGGGUUAGUAAUGUAUGGGGAUCUGCCCGAUUGAGGGGGAUAACUACUGGAAACGGUGGCUAAUACCGCAUACUAUCGGAUGUACCCAUAUGGGAUUAGCUAGUAGGUGGGGUAAAGGCUCACCUAGGCGACGAUCUCUAGCUGGGCUGAGAGGCUGACCAGCCACACUGGGACUGAGACACGGCCCAGACUCCUACGGGAGGCAGCAGUGGGGAAUAUUGCACAAUGGGCGCAAGCCUGAUGCAGCCAGGCCGCGUGUAUGAAGAAGGCCUUAGGGUUGUAAAGUACUUUCAGCGGGGAGGCGUUACCCGCAGAAGAAGCACCGGCUAACUCCGUGCCAGCAGCCGCGGUAAUUC
RNAcentral lists this ribosomal RNA (406 nucleotides) under uncultured bacterium. RNAcentral describes it as "partial 16S ribosomal RNA". It matches the Rfam family "Bacterial small subunit ribosomal RNA", at positions 30 to 526 of the family's 1533-position model. The record is from RNAcentral.